ACAUGUGGAGCGCUUAGAAGUGAGAAUGCCGGUGUGAGUAGCGAAAGACGGGUGAGAAUCCCGUCCACCGAUUGACUAAGGUUUCCAGAGGAAGGCUCGUCCGCUCUGGGUUAGUCGGGUCCUAAGCUGAGGCCGACAGGCGUAGGCGAUGGAUAACAGGUUGAUAUUCCUGUACCACCUAUAAUCGUUUUAAUCGAUGGGGGGACGCAGUAGGAUAGGCGAAGCGUGCGAUUGGAUUGCACGUCUAAGCAGUAAGGCUGAGUAUUAGGCAAAUCCGGUACUCGUUAAGGCUGAGCUGUGAUGGGGAGAAGACAUUGUGUCUUCGAGUCGUUGAUUUCACACUGCCGAGAAAAGCCUCUAGAUAGAAAAUAGGUGCCCGUACCGCAAACCGACACAGGUAGUCAAGAUGAGAAUUCUAAGGUGAGCGAGCGAACUCUCGUUAAGGAACUCGGCAAAAUGACCCCGUAACUUCGGGAGAAGGGGUGCUCUUUAGGGUUAACGCCCAGAAGAGCCGCAGUGAAUAGGCCCAAGCGACUGUUUAUCAAAAACACAGGUCUCUGCUAAACCGUAAGGUGAUGUAUAGGGGCUGACGCCUGCCCGGUGCUGGAAGGUUAAGAGGAGUGGUUAGCUUCUGCGAAGCUACGAAUCGAAGCCCCAGUAAACGGCGGCCGUAACUAUAACGGUCCUAAGGUAGCGAAAUUCCUUGUCGGGUAAGUUCCGACCCGCACGAAAGGCGUAACGAUUUGGGCACUGUCUCAACGAGAGACUCGGUGAAAUCAUAG
This 782-nucleotide ribosomal RNA is filed under the name Staphylococcus aureus. RNAcentral's name for it is "partial 23S ribosomal RNA". It matches the Rfam family "Bacterial large subunit ribosomal RNA", at positions 1269 to 2047 of the family's 2925-position model. The record is from RNAcentral. Lineage: Bacteria; Bacillati; Bacillota; Bacilli; Caryophanales; Staphylococcaceae.